CUGGGUAACGCUAGCGGCAGGCCUAACACAUGCAAGUCGAGGGGUAACAGGAAAGCUUGCUUUCGCUGACGACCGGCGCACGGGUGCGUAACGCGUAUGCAACCUACCUCAUACUGGAGGAUAGCCCCUGGAAACGGGGAUUAAUACUCCAUAGUAUCACGAAUUCGCAUGUUUUUGUGAUUAAAGUUUUUCGGUAUGAGAUGGGCAUGCGUCCCAUUAGCUUGUUGGUGAGGUAACGGCUCACCAAGGCAACGAUGGGUAGGGGGCCUGAGAGGGUGGUCCCCCACACUGGUACUGAGACACGGACCAGACUCCUACGGGAGGCAGCAGUGAGGAAUAUUGGUCAAUGGAGGCAACUCUGAACCAGCCAUGCCGCGUGAAGGAUGACGGCCCUAUGGGUUGUAAACUUCUUUUAUAGAGGAAGAAACUUGUCUACGUGUAGACAACUGACGGUACUCUACGAAUAAGGAUCGGCUAACUCCGUGCCAGCAGCCGCGGUAAUACGGAGGAUCCAAGCGUUAUCCGGAUUCAUUGGGUUUAAAGGGUCCGUAGGCGGGUCUUUAAGUCAGUGGUGAAAGCCGACAGCUCAACUGUCGAACUGCCAUUGAUACUGGAGACCUUGAGUACAAAUGAAGUAGGCGGAAUGAGUCAUGUAGCGGUGAAAUGCAUAGAUAUGACUCAGAACACCGAUUGCGAAGGCAGCUUACUAACAUGUAACUGACGCUGAGGGACGAAAGCGUGGGGAGCGAACAGGAUUAGAUACCCUGGUAGUCCACGCCGUAAACGAUCAUCACUCGCUGUUGGCGAUAUACUGUCAGCGGCCAAGCGAAAGUAUUAAGUGAUGCA
Molecule: ribosomal RNA, 846 nt
Filed under: uncultured Bacteroidota bacterium
Lineage: Bacteria; Pseudomonadati; Bacteroidota
Description: bacterial SSU rRNA
Rfam family: Bacterial small subunit ribosomal RNA
Source: RNAcentral